GUUAAAGUUGUUCUCCAGAACGGUCCAAACAGCGUUUCCAUUAAAGGAAAAAGGGCAAAUUAUGGAGAUAAGAUAAGGGAAAAAAAAAAAUCAGUGAAAGCUGAACACUUGAAGCUCGUUUGAUAAUCAAUGGGGGAAGAACCAACCAAGAGGUAUGCAGUAGUUACCGGUGCAAAUAAGGGAAUUGGAUUUGAAAUUUGUAGGCAGUUGGCUUCAAAUGGGAUUGUUGUAGUAUUAACGGCCAGAGAUGAGAAAAGAGGGCUUGAAGCUCUUCAAAAACUCCAAGACUCUGGUCUAUCUGAUUAUGUAUUGUUUCAUCAACUUGAUGUGGCAGACACUGCCAGUAUUGCUGCUCUUGCUGAUUUCAUCAAAACCCAAUUCGGAAAGCUUGACAUCUUGGUGAAUAAUGCAGGUGUCGGUGGAGUUAUACUUGAUGGUGAUGCUUUAAGAGCUUCUGAUUUUGGCAAGGAAGGUGUAAAUGUGUUUUCUUUGGAUUGGGAUAAAAUAAUAGCAAGUCAAACAAGUGAGUUGGCUGAAGAAUGCAUUGCAAUAAAUUAUUACGGUGCCAAAAGAACAGCUGAGGCACUUAUUCCCCUGCUCCAGUUGUCUGAUUCGCCAAGGAUUGUUAAUGUUUCCUCCAUGGGAGGGGCAUUGAAGAAUAUACAAAAUGAAUGGGCUAAAGAAGUGUUAGGUGAUGCUGAUAAUCUCUCGGAGGAGAGAAUUGAUGAGGUGUUGAACAAGUAUCUAAACGAUUUUAAAGAAAGCUCGCCGGAAACAAAAGGAUGGCCUGAAUUUUUUUCUGCUUAUGAGCUCUCAAAAGCAGCUCUGAAUGCCUACACGAGGAUCCUAGCCAAGAAGUUGCCAUCUUUUCGCAUCAAUUCUGUCUGCCCUGGCUUAGUCAAGACAGACCUAAUAUUCAACAUGGGAAAAUUGUCUCCAGCAGAAGGGGCUGAAAGUGCAGUGAGGUUAGCAUUAUUACCUAACGAUGGUCCUUCUGGUUGUCUCUUUGAUCGUAAGGACGAAUCACCUUUUUGAUUGAACAUUCCACAAGCUUCUAUGCUUUGGCAAUAACUGUGUCAGGAUUUAAUAUAAAUAUUCCACUUUGUUUUUUUUUUUUUUUUUUACGUAGAAUAAGGUUUCGUAGGGACUAGACAAGUGAAGCGUGGCUGAUUAGCGAGCUUAGGCCUAUUACUCCCUACCUUAAACCUAGUUUUUUUUUUUUCUGUGGUUUUUGGCUUAGGCAAAAUAAGUGGUCCCCUCAUUCUCAUAAUAUUAACGUUUGAUGGGUAAGAAUAUUCCAUUAGAUCUAAUUUCGCUAUGUAUUACUGUUGGUUGGAUCCCAAUCACAAAGUCUAAAGUGGUGAACUACUUGUAACUUUCGUGCAA
Jatropha curcas is the source of this 1386-nucleotide non-coding RNA. The record is from RefSeq and is a predicted model, not a curated record. NCBI's taxonomy places the organism in Eukaryota, Viridiplantae, Streptophyta, Magnoliopsida, Malpighiales, Euphorbiaceae.